CGUCUAUAAGUGAGUAGUCUUUUAAAUUAUUAAAAGACGAGAGAAGAGUAUGAGAGAUUCAAGAAAGAGGGCUCGGAUUGUAGCUACUCUAUGAAGAAGAGGAGUCAGGUGUAAUUUUCUAUUAUUUAAUGAAUCUUAUUUUAUCCGCAUAUUUUUCUCUUUUAUGAUUGUAUCAGCUUUUGCUGAGGAGACUGGUUUAUGACAAAAACCCGAUUCGACGCUUCCGUUGCGUAAUCCCAACAAUCGAUACCAAAUCCACAACAGUCAGUAUCGGAGCGGGUUGCGGGUUCACAAGAUCCGGUACCGGGAUGAGUAUCAGAUUCCCAACAUUACCAACCAGUUAUUUAUAUUCAGCAAAAUUUUAGCUACUAUUAUAACAAACCAACUUAUUCCUCUCCUAAAACCCUAACUUCAAGUCCACCACUAGCAAACUAUCCCAACUUAUAUGAUCUUUAAUUCUUUGCUAUCGAUAUCAACAAACCCACUCCUAUUCAAGCUCAAACUAAUCCUCCCGUGCUGCCAAAACCUUACUAUCCAUCCUCUCCUGAUCCACCACAAAUUCCGCACACUCCUAUCUUCUUACAACCUAUCUUCGUCAAAUUCAAGUUCUCAAGCUUCAGGAGACUUAAAAUCGCAUUAUUAUCGAUAU
This 649-nucleotide long non-coding RNA is filed under the name Ananas comosus (pineapple). Its description in RNAcentral is "long non-coding RNA (ACOM_LNC005137)". The record is from RNAcentral. Lineage: Eukaryota; Viridiplantae; Streptophyta; Magnoliopsida; Poales; Bromeliaceae.